Molecule: ribosomal RNA, 442 nt
Filed under: uncultured bacterium
Lineage: Bacteria
Description: partial 16S ribosomal RNA
Rfam family: Bacterial small subunit ribosomal RNA
Source: RNAcentral
CCUACGGGAGGCAGCAGUGGGGAAUAUUUGGCAAUGGGCGCAAGCCUGACCCAGCAACGCCGCGUGAAGGAAGAAGGCUUUCGGGUUGUAAACUUCUUUUUUCAGGGAACAGUAGAAGACGGUACCUGACGAAUAAGCCACGGCUAACUACGUACCAGCAUCCGCCGUAAUUCGUAGGUGGCAAGCGUUGUCUGGAUUUACUGGGUGUAAAGGGCGUGUAGACGGGUUGACAAGUCAGCUGUGAAAUCCUGCGGCUGAACCGCAGAACUGCAUUUGACACUGUAGAUCUUGAGUACUGGAGAGGCAGACGGAAUUCGUGGUGUAGCGGUGAAAUGCGUAGAUAUUAGGAGGAACACCAGUUGCGAAGGCGGUCUGCUGGACAGCAACUGAAGGUGAGGCGCGAAAGCGUGGGGAGCAAACAGGAUUAGAUACCCGAGUAGUC